AUACGUAGGGAGCAAGCGUUAUCCGGAGUUUACUGGGUGUAAAGGGCGCGUAGGCGGGACGACAAGUCAGGUGUGAAAUCUAUGGGCUCAACCCAUAAACUGCACUUGAAACUGUUAGUUCUUGAGUGAUGGAGAGGCAAGUGGAAUUCCUAGUGUAGCGGUGAAAUGCGUAGAUAUUAGGAGGAACACCAGUGGCGAAGGCGACUUGCUGGACAUUAACUGACGCUGAGGCGCGAAAGCGUGGGGAGC
RNAcentral lists this ribosomal RNA (249 nucleotides) under uncultured bacterium. Its description in RNAcentral is "partial 16S ribosomal RNA". It matches the Rfam family "Bacterial small subunit ribosomal RNA", at positions 523 to 769 of the family's 1533-position model. The record is from RNAcentral.